Molecule: ribosomal RNA, 399 nt
Filed under: Triticum aestivum (bread wheat)
Lineage: Eukaryota; Viridiplantae; Streptophyta; Magnoliopsida; Poales; Poaceae
Description: partial small subunit ribosomal RNA
Source: RNAcentral
AUGGACCCGUUCCUCACCGCGGCGGCCUUCCUCGCGCUGUUCCUCAUCUUCGUCGCCCUCCCGCUCAUCUUCCUCCGCCACUUGUUCAGCACUGGCGUCCCCGAGGUGGCCGCGGCGAGAGGCGUCGGCGCAGAGCUGCUGGGCUCGCUGCCGGUCACGGUAUACCGCGCGGCGGACCACGUCGGGGUGCUGGAGUGCGCGGUGUGCCUGGCCGGGCUCCAGGACGGGGAGCAGGCGAGGUUCCUGCCCCGCUGCGGCCACGGGUUCCACGCCGGGUGCGUCGACACAUGGCUGGCGUCCCGCUCCACUUGCCCGCUCUGCCGGGUCACCGUCGACGGCAAGCCCGACGCGCUUACGCCGACGAGUCCCCCUCCCGUCGGGAACCUGCUGGCGAGGUGA